GUGGCUAUAACUCAGUGGUAGAGCACAUGCUUAGCAUGCAAGUAGGUCCUGGGUUCAAUCCCCAGUACCUCCA
This 73-nucleotide transfer RNA is filed under the name Camelus bactrianus (Bactrian camel). It matches the Rfam family "tRNA". Rfam says of the family: Transfer RNA (tRNA) molecules are approximately 80 nucleotides in length. RNAcentral also lists the same sequence under 2 other names. Lineage: Eukaryota; Metazoa; Chordata; Mammalia; Artiodactyla; Camelidae. The record is from Rfam by way of RNAcentral.